GGUUUAAUAUUCAAGAGUAUGAUUUUAAAUUGCAAAUUUAAAGGUGAUUUUAUGUCUUAAACCU
Molecule: transfer RNA, 64 nt
Filed under: Phrixothrix hirtus
Lineage: Eukaryota; Metazoa; Arthropoda; Insecta; Coleoptera; Phengodidae
Description: tRNA-Cys
Source: RNAcentral